Molecule: small RNA, 552 nt
Filed under: Pan troglodytes (chimpanzee)
Lineage: Eukaryota; Metazoa; Chordata; Mammalia; Primates; Hominidae
Description: processed transcript
Source: RNAcentral
GGGCUUGGCGUACCUCCGAGAGAAGCACCAGAUCAUGCACCGAGAUGUGAAGCCCUCCAACAUCCUCGUGAACUCUAGAGGGGAGAUCAAGCUGUGUGACUUCGGGGUGAGCGGCCAGCUCAUCGACUCCAUGGCCAACUCCUUCGUGGGCACGCGCUCCUACAUGGCUCCGCCUCCUAAGCUGCCCAACGGUGUGUUCACCCCCGACUUCCAGGAGUUUGUCAAUAAAUGCCUCAUCAAGAACCCAGCGGAGCGGGCGGACCUGAAGAUGCUCACAAACCACACCUUCAUCAAGCGGUCCGAGGUGGAAGAAGUGGAUUUUGCUGGCUGGUUGUGUAAAACCCUGCGGCUGAACCAGCCCGGCACACCCACGCGCACCGCCGUGUGACAGUGGCCGGGCUCCCUGCGUCCCGCUGGUGACCUGCCCACCGUCCCUGUCCAUGCCCCGCCCUUCCAGCUGAGGACAGGCUGGCGCCUCCACCCACCCUCCUGCCUCACCCCUGCGGAGAGCACCGUGGCGGGGCGACAGCGCAUGCAGGAACGGGGGUCUCC